Long non-coding RNA from Octopus bimaculoides (California two-spot octopus), 5621 nucleotides. Lineage: Eukaryota; Metazoa; Mollusca; Cephalopoda; Octopoda; Octopodidae. The record is from RefSeq and is a predicted model, not a curated record.
AAUUGAAUUUAUUUCACUUUUUAACUUUGAAAUCACUCGAAUCUUCUCGUUCAAGCAAAGUUUGCAUCACCUGUUUUCGUUCAGGUGAUGCUGUUGAUGCUGCUGCUGCUGCUGCUGCUGUUAUCGUAACCAUUGGUGCUGUUCUUACUCGACCUGUUGACGCUGCUGUUGUUGCUGGUGCUAUUGCUGCUGUUGCUGCUGUUACUGAAGGACACCACCUCUGCCUCGAGGAUCACGGCCCCGGAGUUGCAUCGACUGCCUACUGGGCAUUCACUGUUAACCCUACAUGAGCAUUUUGCCUCCGUGCUGGGAUUAGAGGUGUUCACUGAAAUCUUUUUUACACUGGGCGCAUAGUUGAAUGAGACCCUUAAGUUGUGUCUAUUAAAUAAUCGUCCGUACCUAUGGGAUUGCGAGAAAUGUCUAUCCAAUAAUGUAAGGAAUAUCCUUCCCACGCAGGUUUUGAUGUUGGGUGAGAAGGUUGGGGAACAACAAAUAACCUUACGGUGGCGCUCUCUUUUGUGAAUGUUAGGUCCGGGCAUAAAGAAGAUACGGCGCUUAAGCCCGCUGGAUGCCAAAGCCUUGUUGUAAUAGGCGACUCAGCGUCGAAAAUUUCUGUAUUUGAGGAAGGUUCGAAAUCCUUUUACUGACACUCUUUACCAGGUUCUAAUACAAUAGGUGGGUGUAGGAAGUUGUGUUAAUGUACGACAGCCUUUCGUUUGGUUUGCGGUAGGGCCUGAAUGAACAGGUACCCAAAUCGAGCGUAACAUCUAAAAUGUUAGCCAUUGUAAGACUGAUCUCAACUGUAAUCUGAAGAGCAAAAGAGUUCAUAUGAAUUGGGUCCUUCUUAAGCCGAUAUAGGGUGUGCCCGUUUACGCUUCUAGAGAUGGCUAAAUCGUCAUCUCUGUAUAGAACCAAAAAGGGCCAACGGGAACCUUUUUGUUAAGGUGUCCAGUACAUAUAAUCCUAUUAGGUCGCAGAUAUCAGCGCUACUGAAUGCUCCCAUCGUCACGUCAAAGGAGCGUACUGAGUCAGUUUACUUGACCCAGGCCAAACCUUUGUUGAACAGCAGGGUUUUCCUGGCAUGCAUAAUUACAUUUCUAUCCUUAUCAUUAACGUCAGUAAAAUCCCUAAGGAGUAUAAGCGCCUUAACUAGUAACUCUUUCGAUAUAGACGAAUAAAGCUCCACUAUAUAGAAUUGGGUGAACCUUGCCCUACCUCUACCUUGGUUUGCCUUAAACCAUGAAAUAAUUUCAUUGGUAUUGCGCCAUAAGGAGAGUUUAAGUGUCCUCAUUAUGUCAUCUUUGAUCCCUCUCAAAAUAUGCUUGCUCGCCAACCUAAUUUCCGAUUUAGCCAUAACUGAGUAGACUCCAGCUUUGAACACACGUUACUGAUUUUUCAAGCAUUAUCCAAUGCAUCCUUUUUUUAUGUAAACGCUAUGCUGCGUGGUUUUGUUACGCUUUCUAAUAGAUCAGUGAGCACAUACACAUUUCCUGCGUUGGUUCAACGCUUUCUAUUUUAUAGUCAACGGUGUACCGUAAAUUUUGAAGAGAAGUAUAGUGUAAACUUGCAUAUCGUCACAACUUCCUCAAGAAUGUCACUUCGUACAUCAGCUUAACGUGACUGCAAUGUUGAUCAGUAUGCUAAUGCAGAUGAAACGUGAAUAGCAAUAAACUGCAAGUAACUAAUGCAAUUACGAUAAAUAAAUAAUAUAAGGACAUUGAACUAGCAGAGACAAUAGAACAACGGAUUAAACGAGAUACUUCUGCCGACUUUGCUUUUUCAUCUUUCGAGUGCUGCCGAUACAACCUAUUGACAGUGUCAAUGCGGCGGAUUGUAUUAUCUGACACGAAAAAUGAUGAGACAAGCCAACUACAGUGACGCAGAAAAAUCACCAGCUUCUUAAACAUGACAUUGUCGUUCGUGCGCAGACUCUGAAAAAGAGUUGGUGGCCUCUAGCAGAGUUGUGUCACCUAUGACCAAAAGAAAGAAACGCUCUUAAUAACCAGAUGUUGUCAGGACAGCUGAGUUUGUUGAGCAAAUCUAGAAUAACAUUAACAACCCGUGCAAGUCGAUGAGGUUCAUUGCUGGGCACCUCAGUGUCGCAGCCCACUAUCAGACACGUGUGCACGAGAUAUCAAGUAAAAAUUUUAUACGUUGAAGAAAAAGCAGUAUAUGUCCGACAAGACCCCGGUGACCUAUAUAACUACAUGAUUCCCUUCAGCCUUCUGUGGUUUCUUUAUUCCAGACCCCUGAUUACUGCAUUUAUGGAGUUGUCAGCGGGAAGAAACCGACGGGCAGCCCCACAGUUCCAACGACUCGUUGGAACCAAGGCGAUGGACAACCGUAAGUGAGAAAGCAGAUAUACCCAUAUCAAGUGAUUUCGAUCUCUAAGAUAUUCCUCUUAGAUCUCCUCAGUGGGCCCUACUGAUUGGGGAAAAACUGCUACUCGCCUUGUACAAGCAUGUCAAAACCGUCGAGAGGCUAGCGUCAAAUUCAAACGGUAGUAGUGUAUAAUUAUAAAAAUCUAGUACCCUUAUUUAUAUAUUUGCUUUUUUUUUUUGCUAACUAGUCACCUAUAUUAUUAUUAUUUAUUAAUUAUAAUAUCAUUAUUUAUAAUCAUAUACUACUACCGUUUGAAUUUGAAGCUAGCCUCUUAACUGUUUUAGCAUGCUUGUACAAGGUGAGUAGUAGUUUAGCCCCAAGCAGCAAGACCCGUUGAUGAGAUCUUAGAGGAAUAUCUCGGAGAUCAAAAUCACUUGAUGUUGGUAUAUCUGCAUUCUCAUUUUCGAUUCUCCAUCGCCUUGGUAUGUUGACUAUUUUUUCUCGCUUCCCCAAUUUCGUCAGCUUGUUAACAUUCAGAGUUUGUGGUUAAUUCAGUCGAUUUUGACUCCUAUAUCUAGCAAAACUGGUGCUAUCUAGUACCCUUAUUUAGAUAUUUGCCUUUUCUUUUUUUUUUUGCUAACUGUCACCUAUAUUAUUAUUAUUUAUCAAUAAUAUCAUCAUUAUUUAUGAUACAUAUAUAUAUAUAAUAUGACAUGAUGGGUUUAGUUCACUUGUGUUCUAAACGAAUAGGCAUGCUGGAUAAGUGCUAUAGUAGGUCCACCUUUAGGUCCCAAGAUUACUGCUAAGGCUGGAUCUAGGGAUCCGUGUUAGGGUUCCGUUAUAGCAGGUAUAUAUUAUAUUAUAUUAUAUUAUAUUAUAUUAUUGGAAAAAAUCAAAGCCAAGUCACAACGAGUAUCUCAAGUCAUUAAGAAUAAUCUAAUUUAAUUUGAAGUCUAAUUAAAUUAUUCUAAAUGACUUGAGAUACUCGUUCUGCAUUGGUUUUGAUUUUUCCUAUAAUAUGAUAUAAUAUAAUAUUAUAUUAUAUUAUAUUAUAUUAUAUUUAUAUUAUAUUAUAUUAUAUUAUAUUAUAUUAUAUAUAUAUGUGUGUGUGUGUGUGUGUGUGUGUGUGUGUGUGUGUGUGUGUGUGUGUGUAAAUGAGUCGAAGAGUGGAAGUAAAGAUUCAGUGAUAAAUAUACGGAGAAACACUAAAAUGGUGAGAAUUGCCAACUGCAACUGCCAGUCAAGUGGGAAAAAUAAUUAUUCAUAAUUAGUAAUUAUACAUAUAUACGCACAGUACUUAGGCGAUUUUACCAAUUGUUUCAUACAACAGAUAUUGGCCAAAACACAAUCCCAGCACUGGUCAGAAGGGCUGGUAGGAAGAAUAUAACAACGGUUCUUGCACAUUGGAAGUCACGAAGUGUCACAUCUGGUCUGUGAAUGUUGUGGAAAAUCGGAACGAAAAAAGCAGUGGAGGAAGUUCACCAAUUUUAGGGUCUGACGGAGCCCAAACCUCUGUAGACCUAAGCAUAGCCGAUUUCUCCAAGGAAAAGAGAAACAGAGACAGAGAUAGAGAUAGGAUGAGAAAUGGAGAGAGACAGGGAAACGGUGAAGAAGAGAAUGAAAAAGAAGAAUCAACCGCUUUAGAAGACUAGUACUUUAUUUUUCGAUCUCGAAAGGAUUGAGGGCAAAUAUGCUACCUUCUCGUCAUAUAAGCAAAUGUAUUUGUCUACACUCCAUUAGUUGUUUAUAACAUCAUCCAAACAUGUUAUUUUGUGUUCUGGGACGUACAUGUUGCACUGUUAUAUAGUGCUACGUUGUCUCCUUUCACUUUUCAUCUUAGUUUACCAGUGUUUUAUUUUACAAUAAACAGGCCUAUGCUUUUCAUUGUUCUGAGCUAGUAGCUAAUUUUAAUCAUACAUCCCAUAUAGUUUCUUUUUCUGCAUCCCAAUCGCCAAAAAUGUUUAACGAACUUUGUGUCUUGUUCGAAUUGUAUCAAUUGGCUAACAACCUAAGAAAUGGUUAUUGAUGCACUGAUGUCGUGAUCAGCUGAUUAGCCGAUGUUAAUGUCUCGUCAAAAAUUUAGGAAAAGAGAACAUCUAUAGAGGAGUAAUAGAGAAAUUUACACCUCUUACAUCUAGGCUAUAGACGAUCAUUUGUACCAGGAUUGUGUUAUAGGAACAUUGGAUCGGGUGAUCAUAGGUACACUGGAUUGUGUAAGAAGAGAUUUGCAUAAACGCCUAGAAAUGCAGGGAUUCUUCAGGAAGGAACAAAUCAAGCUGAUUCGCAUUCUUCAAAUAUAAUCGAUAAAUGGUACCGUGAAAAUUUGUAAAAGAUUCCAGAGAUUUUAUAUUUGAGUUCCAGAGUGAACAUAUGCACACAAUAACAUUUUAGUCAUGGAUUACACACACAGAGAAAAUACACACACAUAAACAGUAAUGAAGCACACGCAUUUGUGUACUAAAUUGACAUGCACACCCACAACAUGUGUACAAGUUUCUCCACACACACAUACACCAACACAUUCAUGCAUACGUGCACAUAUACAUAACGACAGAUUUCGAUAUGUACUUAUUUAAUACAGGUACAUUAUACUGCAUUCUAGGAAUACAGGUUUUUGAAGCAAGAAUAAAGUAAGCUGACUUUCUGCCUUCAAAUCCAACGGAUUAGUGGCACAAUGAAUAUUCAUAAAACAUUCCAAAGAUUCUUCAUUUCAGUGUCUUGGAAACUACGCAUGCACGCCUCUUUGUAUGUGGCAAACAUAGACAUAACGAAUAAUCAAGAACACGCACAUCGUGAACAAAAGAGGUAUGCAUACCUAUUAUAUCAAUGCAAGAUAUACACACAUCCUAUCUCCCAUAUUCACAAACCCCUGUAACUUUUUGGUUCAAGAAUCAACUUUAUGAGUUGUCGGCUUGAACUCUGCAAAGAACUUCAAUAAAGCAUAACGAAAAAUUUUCCUGCAUAUACAAACACAAUAAUCGACGGGGUUGUGUAUUUAUACUUUAACAUUUAUAUGGUUGACAUUUCUAUUGUAGGUGAAAUAUUUGAUAUAUUACAUGGAAACUUUGCACUCUGGAAACAAUACUAAAAAUAUUCUAAUUAAACUGGGGUAGUUUUGGUGAAGCAGUGUGUGAUAUUGUAUUUUCUUUUCUUUUAAUUCAAACUGUCGACUUUAUCCCAGACACCCUACAUAUGCUCAGAUGUGUGAGCAACGACCUUUUCCCAUCCCUCGCUUUUCCUCAUGUCCUGAGGAAGAGGGUCAUAACCACGAACUAUAAUAAUAUAACGUAAAACUACGA